AUUGAACGCUGGCGGCAUGCUUUACACAUGCAAGUCGAACGGUAACAGGCCUUCGGGUGCUGACGAGUGGCGAACGGGUGAGUAAUGCAUCGGAACGUACCCAGAGGUGGGGGAUAACGCAGCGAAAGCUGUGCUAAUACCGCAUGUGAUCUGAGGAUGAAAGCGGGGGACCGAGCAGCAAUGUUUGGCCUCGCGCCUUUGGAGCGGCCGAUGUCGGAUUAGCUAGUUGGUGGGGUAAAGGCUUACCAAGGCGACGAUCCGUAGCUGGUCUGAGAGGACGACCAGCCACACUGGGACUGAGACACGGCCCAGACUCCUACGGGAGGCAGCAGUGGGGAAUUUUGGACAAUGGGCGCAAGCCUGAUCCAGCAAUGCCGCGUUCGGGAAGAAGGCCUUCGGGUUGUAAACCGCUUUUGGCAGGAACGAAACGGUGUCCGCUAAUACCGGGCGCUAAUGACGGUACCUGCAGAAUAAGCACCGGCUAACUACGUG
This 492-nucleotide ribosomal RNA is filed under the name uncultured bacterium. RNAcentral's name for it is "partial 16S ribosomal RNA". It matches the Rfam family "Bacterial small subunit ribosomal RNA", at positions 30 to 507 of the family's 1533-position model. The record is from RNAcentral.